CCACCUUACUGGGCAGGCUGGUUGGAGUUUCUCCACAGACCCUCCUCCCACCUGCCUCUCUCAAUUGGUUACAGCUGGUGUCAGGGAAAGGCAAUUUCCCAGAAGAUAGAAACACCUGAAACUGAUGUAGCUUCCCAAUAAGAUCUCAGGAGUUGGGCAAGUAAGCUCAAGCAAGUGCAUUAAGCGUCAAAGUGGUGGAAUUUAACUGGUAUAUGACAUUGCACAGGUAAGUGAAGAAUGCUUCAAGAGAGCGCGGAGAAAACGCUGGUGAGCAUGCAUAAAACGCUGGUAAACGCACCGCGCAUGCUCCCCUCCCACGGGCUAGCAAGGCCAUUGCACGUAGGGACAGCACACUGCAAGGAGAGAAUCGGGGAGAAGGAAUGCAAGACCCUGGAAGCAUACCAACGUAUAAAACUCCAAGCCAAAAGGAGGCAGCUGCAAAUGGUUGGCAAUCAGUGCCCUUGAUUGUGGAUACACUGAAUUUCUGUAAGUGCAAUCAUUAGUUCUCUUAUAAACUCUUACCUGUUUCUUCAUCUUUGAACUCUUCUGACAUUUCAGUUACUUUCCUAUAAAUUUUAGAAUUGUUGAAGGUACCUUCAGAAACACCUUGAAUCCAGUAGUGUUUUCAAGUGGGACAAUGCUUUUAUCAUGUAAAUCUAUUUUGGAAUUUUCCUUAAGGAAAAAAGAAUAUUACCACUGCAAAAAAUAAUAAUGUUUUGCCUGAAGUAUAAUAUCUAAUGGAUUUCAACAGGGCUUGUAUCUUGAUUGAUACAGAGAUACUUUAGAAUAGCAUUACAAAAGGAAACCUCCAGGAACAUGCUUCACUUAGCGGCUACAGUUUCAAUUUCCUUUUCAACUAUUUACAUUUAUGAAUCUUUCAGAAAACAAUAACUGUUCACAUUUGCAGUGAGCUCUUUUAUUCAUUAGUUACAUUCAGUGAACAAUGUUUUAUAAUUUCAUCAGCUACUUGCAUUUCCCGAAUAAAUGGAAAACAGCACAAAUGAGCAAACAGAUAAAGAAAAUGUAAAUAGUGCCAGAGAAAGUCAGAUACUGAAAAAUAAGGAUAGAUAAAUGACAUGAAGGAGUCUCUAGGCUGGUCAAUGCAUUUACCUGAGGAUGUUAGUACAUAGUUAAGGUAUUAUUCAAUCACUUUUAUGUACUUUAUGAGAAAAAUGUAUUUUGAAAAGUAACAUUAUAUUUUUGAUUUUUUUUGCCUUUAGUUUUAUAUAAAAUGCUUUGGAGG
RNAcentral lists this long non-coding RNA (1243 nucleotides) under Callithrix jacchus (white-tufted-ear marmoset). RNAcentral describes it as "lncRNA (ENSCJAG00000074499.1)". The record is from RNAcentral. Lineage: Eukaryota; Metazoa; Chordata; Mammalia; Primates; Cebidae.